AUUGAACGCUGGCGGCAGGCCUAACACAUGCAAGUCGAGCGGAUGAAGGGAGCUUGCUCCUGGAUUCAGCGGCGGACGGGUGAGUAAUGCCUAGGAAUCUGCCUGGUAGUGGGGGAUAACGUCCGGAAACGGGCGCUAAUACCGCAUACGUCCUGAGGGAGAAAGUGGGGGAUCUUCGGACCUCACGCUAUCAGAUGAGCCUAGGUCGGAUUAGCUAGUUGGUGGGGUAAAGGCCUACCAAGGCGACGAUCCGUAACUGGUCUGAGAGGAUGAUCAGUCACACUGGAACGGAGACACGGUCCAGACUCCUAAGGGAGGGAGCAGUGGGGAAUAGUGGACAAUGGGCGAAAGCCUGAUCCAGCCAUGCCGCGUGUGUGAAGAAGGUCUUCGGAUUGUAAAGCACUUUAAGUUGGGAGGAAGGGCAGUAAGUUAAUACCUUGCUGUUUUGACGUUACCAACAGAAUAAGCACCGGCUAACUUCGUG
Molecule: ribosomal RNA, 484 nt
Filed under: uncultured bacterium
Lineage: Bacteria
Description: partial 16S ribosomal RNA
Rfam family: Bacterial small subunit ribosomal RNA
Source: RNAcentral